UAAGUCUACUGUUCAGAGCAAAGGUCUUUCCACACUCCAUGCAUUUAUAUGGCUUCUCCCCUGUAUAGAUCAUCAUAUGGGAAAAAAGAUGACCUCUUUGAGCAAAUGUCUUUCCACACUCCAUGCAUUUAUAUGGCUUCUCCCCUGUGUGGAUCUUUUUGUGGAUAGU
Non-coding RNA from Notechis scutatus (mainland tiger snake), 169 nucleotides. The record is from RefSeq and is a predicted model, not a curated record. Lineage: Eukaryota; Metazoa; Chordata; Lepidosauria; Squamata; Elapidae.